UAAAGAGGAGUUGAGGAUCGAGAAGA
This 26-nucleotide non-coding RNA is filed under the name Mus musculus (house mouse). Lineage: Eukaryota; Metazoa; Chordata; Mammalia; Rodentia; Muridae. The record is from RNAcentral.